GGACGCGUAGCUCAGUUGGCAGAGCAUUGGGCUAGUAUUCCAAAGGUCGUAGGUUCAAAUCGUGCCGUGGCCG
Molecule: non-coding RNA, 73 nt
Organism: Paramuricea clavata
Lineage: Eukaryota; Metazoa; Cnidaria; Anthozoa; Malacalcyonacea; Plexauridae
Source: the annotation of a GenBank genome assembly